CUACGGGAGGCUCCAGUGAGGAAUAUUGCACAAUGGGGGGAACCCUGAUGCAGCAACGCCGCGUGGAGGAUGACGCAUUUCGGUGUGUAAACUCCUUUUAUAUGUCAAGAAAAUGACGGUAGCAUAUGAAUAAGCACCGGCUAACUCCGUGCCAGCAGCCGCGGUAAUACAGAGGGUGCAAGCGUUACUCGGAAUCACUGGGCGUAAAGGACGCGUAGGCGGGCUUGUAAGUCAGGUGUGAAAUCCUACAGCUUAACUGUAGAACUGCACUUGAAACUACGAGCCUAGAGUAUGGGAGGGGCAGAUGGAAUUAGUGGUGUAGGGGUAAAAUCCGUAGAUAUCACUAGGAAUACCUAAAGCGAAGGCGAUCUGCUGGAACAUAACUGACGCUAAGGCGUGAAAGCGUGGGGAGCAAACAGGAUUAGAUACCCCGGUAGUC
Molecule: ribosomal RNA, 439 nt
Filed under: uncultured bacterium
Lineage: Bacteria
Description: partial 16S ribosomal RNA
Rfam family: Bacterial small subunit ribosomal RNA
Source: RNAcentral